GUCACAUCUCAAAAUGUAUGAGAGAAAAUCCUGCCUCAGCUGGAAAUUCUACCUGGAACCUAAGGCUUACUAAGCCGCCACCGUACUAGUAAACCACUGAGGCAAGACUUUCUAUCCAAGAAUUUCAUUCUGUCAAAGUGGUGACUUUUGUCCACUGUUUUAUUUUUGACUUAACUCCAAAAAAAAAAAAAAAUCGACCACUCGUUCUCUUCCUGGAUUUGAAACUUUUUCUCACCAUCUGUCUACUUUCCCAAGAAUCUUUGAAAGUUUAUUCAGAUCUGCGAUUAAUGCGACGACGUUCAUGUUCAUACAAUGUUGACCUCUCUCAUUUGCUGUUGUUUAAUUACACGGUCAAACAUAAAUCUCGACAGAUCGAUUGUUUUAAA
Molecule: long non-coding RNA, 386 nt
Filed under: Olea europaea subsp. europaea
Lineage: Eukaryota; Viridiplantae; Streptophyta; Magnoliopsida; Lamiales; Oleaceae
Source: RNAcentral